AGAGUUUGAUCCUGGCUCAGAUUGAACGCUGGCGGAAUGCUUUACACAUGCAAGUCGAACGGCAGCACGGGGGCAACCCUGGUGGCGAGUGGCGAACGGGUGAGUAAUAUAUCGGAACAUGUCCGGAAGUGGGGGAUAACGUACCGAAAGGUACGCUAAUACCGCAUAUGCCCUGAGGGGGAAAGGUGGGGAUCGCAAGACCUAUCGCUUUCGGAGUGGCCGAUAUCGGAUUAGCUAGUUGGUGAGGUAAAGGCUCACCAAGGCGACGAUCCGUAGCUGGUCUGAGAGGACGACCAGCCACACUGGAACUGAGACACGGUCCAGACUCCUACGGGAGGCAGCAGUGGGGAAUUUUGGACAAUGGGGGCAACCCUGAUCCAGCCAUUCCGCGUGAGUGAAGAAGGCCUUCGGGUUGUAAAGCUCUUUCGGCAGGGAAGAAACGGUCACGGCCAAUACCCGUGACUAAUGACGGUACCUGAAGAAGAAGCACCGGCUAACUCUGUGCCAGCAGCCGCGGUAAUACAGAGGGUGCAAGCGUUAAUCGGAAUUACUGGGCGUAAAGGGUGCGUAGGUGGUUGGAUAAGUCAGAUGUGAAAUCCCCGGGCUUAACCUGGGAACUGCGUUUGAUACUGUCCGACUAGAGUCUGGUAGAGGGUAGUGGAAUUCCGCAUGUAGCGGUGAAAUGCGUAGAGAUGCGGAGGAACACCAGUGGCGAAGGCGGCUACCUGGACCAAGACUGACACUGAGGCACGAAAGCGUGGGUAGCAAACAGGAUUAGAUACCCUGGUAGUCCACGCCCUAAACGAUGGGUACUAGACGUCGGGAGGUUUAUCUUCCUGGUGUCGCAGCUAACGCAAUAAGUACCCCGCCUGGGGAGUACGGUCGCAAGAUUAAAACUCAAAGGAAUUGACGG
This 913-nucleotide ribosomal RNA is filed under the name uncultured bacterium. Its description in RNAcentral is "bacterial SSU rRNA". It matches the Rfam family "Bacterial small subunit ribosomal RNA", at positions 8 to 916 of the family's 1533-position model. The record is from RNAcentral.